CUCAAUCCGAUUUCAUAUCUGGAUUAUUCAAGAUCCAGUCUCCUCGUGGAGACGUCCUGCACGUCUCGUCUCGAUCGUUUUAGAAUCUUAAUCUUAUCUGAGAAGUGAUCGAGUUCGAAGAUUAAGAAGAAGAUAUCUGACAAAGAUUGGUUCAAGCGAACGAUGUGGAGGUUUCUCAGUUAGCCCUGCCGUGUAAUCCUCAGGAUUCUUGGUUGUCUGUAUUCUUGAAUUACUGCUCCAACAGAGGAAUUAUAUCUUCGGAAUAGUGGAGGUGGUCCUGGUACGCCAGCACUGUCUACAGGUAAAGCCCCCUCCUCUUGAAUCGAGAAUCCUCUUUAUCUCGGAGAAGGAAGAGGGUUGGAUAGAGGUCAGCUUCGACGCUAGUACUGAGUUCAGGUUGGUACGUUUUCCUUAGUUUCAUAUCUAUCACUAUCUUUAUAUAUAUACAGGGUGGCCAA
Eurytemora carolleeae is the source of this 458-nucleotide long non-coding RNA. RefSeq lists it as uncharacterized. The record is from RefSeq and is a predicted model, not a curated record. The transcript is spliced from 3 exons. Lineage: Eukaryota; Metazoa; Arthropoda; Copepoda; Calanoida; Temoridae.